GAUGAACGCUGGCGGCGUGCCUAAUACAUGCAAGUAGAACGCUGAAGCUUGGUGCUUGCACCGAGCGGAUGAGUUGCGAACGGGUGAGUAACGCGUAGGUAACCUGCCUCUUAGCGGGGGAUAACUAUUGGAAACGAUAGCUAAUACCGCAUAAAAGUCGAUAUCGCAUGAUAUUGAUUUGAAAGGUGCAAAUGCAUCACUAAGAGAUGGACCUGCGUUGUAUUAGCUAGUUGGUGAGGUAACUGCUCACCAAGGCGACGAUACAUAGCCGACCUGGGAGGGUGAUCCGCCACACUGAGACUGAGACACUGCCCAGACCCCUACGGGAGGCAGCAGUAGGGUAUCUUCGGCAAUGGGGGCAACCCUGACCGAGCAACGCCGCGCGAGUGAAGAAGGUUUUCGGAUCGUAAAGCUCUGUUGUAAGAGAAGAUCGAGUGUGAGAGUUGAAAGUUCACACUGUGACGGUAACUGACCAGAAAUCGACGGCUAACUACGUG
This 497-nucleotide ribosomal RNA is filed under the name uncultured bacterium. RNAcentral describes it as "partial 16S ribosomal RNA". It matches the Rfam family "Bacterial small subunit ribosomal RNA", at positions 28 to 507 of the family's 1533-position model. The record is from RNAcentral.